Molecule: unclassified non-coding RNA, 2039 nt
Filed under: Haliotis rubra (blacklip abalone)
Lineage: Eukaryota; Metazoa; Mollusca; Gastropoda; Lepetellida; Haliotidae
Description: uncharacterized LOC124276535, transcript variant X2
Source: RNAcentral
AAACAUGGUCACGUGGUCACAUCAGCUCCACCCACCCAUGAAGUUUAAUCCAUUUAAGCCUACUGUACUUCGAGGGCUUCAAUAGACGCCUAAUUGAAAAGAUGGCUACGGGAGGUGAAAAUGAUGACACAGAGGUUGAUGCCGUUUUGGAUACCUCAUCAGAUGUACAGAAUGAAACUGAACACUAUGAUGUUGCCUUGCUUUUUGCCGAAAACGACAAAAACCAGGCCCUGGAAAUAUUGGAACAAAUGGAAGAAAUAACUGUAGAAAACGGAGAGAAACCCAAAGUUUGUCUGUACACUGAUCUGCCAGGGGCAUCAGCACACACUGAAGCCGGUAGAAACCUAACAAAGGUAGCCACACUUAUACUUGUGUUGGCCACUGAGAAUCUACAGGAUGAAGAGGUUGCAAAAUUAAUCAAGGAUGAGGCGAUAGGAAAUACUAGAUUGGCAUCGAAGUGUCAUCCCGGACUUAAAUACUGUGUGAGACCUCUCUAUUUAGACAAAGAGAGGAAGGCCCACCCGCCUGGUGGUCUCUCCACCAUCCAAGAAGUGAGGUGGUACGACAAAGAUUCCAGAUGCGGUCAGAGAGAUAUCAGAAUGUUACUGCAAAAUCACUUACAGUACAGAAACAAACGAGAGCGAGAGGACAGUCGUCAAAGAGUUACUGUUCGUGACACAAGGGGCUCUAGACCACCCAAAGAUUCUACGGAUAAUAUUAAUCUUGCGGUAUCAAUUGCAGUAAGACAAGCAGCUAUGGGUCACCGAGAACAAGAAGUUAUGGCAACGCCAGCCCCAGAAGUGGGCCAUCAAAGUUUCGAUUCCACUAACUUACAAAGACCUAACAACAUAAAUGGGUCUUCUAUCCAAUCUAGAAGUACCAAUGAAUCUUCAGAUGCUAGAGCCCCUGGUCAAUCGGAGAGUGAGAGGAACAAUCAUCAACCAUCUGACUCUACAAUGGCCCAAGGUGUUGCCUUGCCUAGAGUCGUUCAUUACCACACUCACUACCAUGGUGAAGGUCCAGGUCUUUCACAAGGAGGGCCACCACAGCGGGGGCUUCCAGGUGCCCCACGUUACCCUGGUCACCCAGCUGCACCUCCACCACAGAACCCUCAGCAACGUGGACCUGUGAACAUGAGUCAGCAAAGUCACAUCAACAUUGUCAACUGCGAGAACGUGCAGGUUGGAUCAAAUACCAAGAUGAUAAUCGGAGGCCAACGUGAAAGGAUGACAGAGAGAGACAAUGAGGCACCUUAUGACAGUCCGACAAGUGCUGCCCCAAACCAAGAAGAUUCACCCCCUCCAUAUUCCCAACAUAACCCAAGUUCCCCUGCUUCCACCGAAAGGAAGACCCCUUGGACUCAUGUCUCAUCGAUCCCCAGUCAGGCAGAACCAAGGGGAGAUAACCCAGCAUGUGGUGGGCAGGAGGCAGGUAUUGUUGAUGUCUCACAGCCUGGGUCAGAGAGCCUGGGAAAUGCUAGUGGGUUGAGUCAUGAUGGACCACGUUCCAGUUUCUCAUCUGAAAGGAUGGCAAGUGAAGGGAGACAAGUCCAGACCGGUUUGACUGAUCUUCAACCACAUUCAGAGAGUACAUCAGGUUUGAGUGACUUCACCAGCCACACCGUGCCAGAGCUUAGUUCUCCAAGUGCUUUUCUUGAGAUGGUACAAUCAGAGCUAUCUGAAGACAGGGACAGUUCUCUAAAGGAUGAGAGGAAGAAGACAUCAAAAUGAAAAACGACAUGCUUCCCAUGGAACAAGGAGAAUUAGUGCUAAUAUUGACUUACAUGGUGUCAAAAUUAGACAUACAUCACAAAAGUCGAAGCUGUACUUAGUGAGCUACCAUCCAAAAGUGAUUUCUCGAUUCCGAACCAUAAUCCCAGCUCAGAAUUUGUACCACUACCUUACCGAUUUUCUUGUUUAUUUCAUCGUAUGAAAACAUGAUGAAUCGAUGCUGUCUGCGCGCUAAUCGCCAUUCCUUUGGACGUAAACUCAUUAUAACAGUUUGGUGUAAGUGUCUUAAUGAGUUUACUUCAUCUGGUU